This 144-nucleotide transfer RNA is filed under the name Nitrososphaerota archaeon. Its description in RNAcentral is "tRNA-Arg". Lineage: Archaea; Thermoproteati; Nitrososphaerota. The record is from RNAcentral.
GGGCCCGUAGCCUAGCAUGGAGCUCUGGCUUCCGCGUGCACUGGUCGUCAAUUGAUCAGCAUACAUCAGGGCAUCGUGUCUUGCUUUCAAGAUCGUGCAAGCCUUCGGAGCCGGGGGUCGUGGGUUCAAAUCCCACCGGGCCCG